GGGAGUAUAGCUCAGACGGACAGAGCGCUCGACCGAUAAUCGAGAGGUCGGUGGUUCGAUCCCACCUACUCCCACCA
Molecule: transfer RNA, 77 nt
Filed under: Erwinia phage Hena1
Lineage: Duplodnaviria; Heunggongvirae; Uroviricota; Caudoviricetes
Description: tRNA-Ile
Rfam family: tRNA
About the family: Transfer RNA (tRNA) molecules are approximately 80 nucleotides in length. Their secondary structure includes four short double-helical elements and three loops (D, anti-codon, and T loops).
Source: RNAcentral